This 301-nucleotide ribosomal RNA is filed under the name uncultured bacterium. Its description in RNAcentral is "partial 16S ribosomal RNA". It matches the Rfam family "Bacterial small subunit ribosomal RNA", at positions 509 to 807 of the family's 1533-position model. The record is from RNAcentral.
CAGCAGCCGCGGGAAUACGGAGGGUGCAAGCGUUAUCCGGAUUCACUGGGUUUAAAGGGUGCGUAGGCGGAUCUGUAAGUCAGUGGUGAAAUCUCCAGGCUUAACCUGGAAACUGCCGUUGAUACUAUAGGUCUUGAAUUUUGUGGAGGUUAGCGGAAUAUGUCAUGUAGCGGUGAAAUGCAUAGAUAUGACAUAGAACACCAAUUGCGAAGGCAGCUGGCUACACAACUAUUGACGCUGAGGCACGAAAGCGUGGGGAUCAAACAGGAUUAGAUACCCGCGUAGUCCCUGUCUCUUAUAC